UGGCCUGCCCAAUGAUAAAUUAAUAAAUUAUUUAAUGGCCGCGGUAUUUAUGACCGUGCAAAGGUAGCAUAAUCAUUAGUCUUUUAAUUGAAGGCUUGUAUGAAUGGUUGGACAAAAGGAAGACUGUCUAUUUUUAAUAAAAAUUGAAUUUAACUUUUAAGUGAAAAGGCUUAAAUAAUUCAGAGGGACGAUAAGACCCUAUAAAACUUUAUAAAAAAAAAGAUUAGUUAAGUUUUUAUUUAAAGAUGAAUAUUUUAUUUUAAUUGAGUUGGGGCAACUAUGGUAUAAUUAUUAUUAACUGCUUUUUAUUAUAAACAAAUAUAUUUGAAUUUAAAUUUAAAUGGUCCUUUAUUAAAGAUUUUAAGAUUAAGUUACUUUAGGGAUAACAGCGUUAUUUUUUUUAAGAGUCCGUAUUGAAAAAAGAGUUUGCGACCUCGAUGUUGAAUUAAAAUUUCUAUAUAGUGCAGUUAUUAUAUAAGAGGGUCUGU
Molecule: ribosomal RNA, 488 nt
Filed under: Hypolobocera meineli
Lineage: Eukaryota; Metazoa; Arthropoda; Malacostraca; Decapoda; Pseudothelphusidae
Description: partial 16S ribosomal RNA
Rfam family: Archaeal large subunit ribosomal RNA (bases 1-174)
Source: RNAcentral